RNAcentral lists this ribosomal RNA (419 nucleotides) under uncultured Prevotella sp. RNAcentral's name for it is "bacterial SSU rRNA". It matches the Rfam family "Bacterial small subunit ribosomal RNA", at positions 358 to 774 of the family's 1533-position model. Lineage: Bacteria; Pseudomonadati; Bacteroidota; Bacteroidia; Bacteroidales; Prevotellaceae. The record is from RNAcentral.
GGAAUAUUGGUCAAUGGGCGAGAGCCUGAACCAGCCAAGUAGCGUGCAGGAAGACGGCCCUAUGGGUUGUAAACUGCUUUUAUCAGGGGAUAAAGUGACCCACGUGUGGGUUUUUGUAGGUACCUGAUGAAUAAGGACCGGCUAAUUCCGUGCCAGCAGCCGCGGUAAUACGGAAGGUCCGGGCGUUAUCCGGAUUUAUUGGGUUUAAAGGGAGCGCAGGCCGGCUUUUAAGCGUGACGUGAAAUGUAGACGCUCAACGGCUGAACUGAGUCGCGAACUGUCAGUCUUGAGUGAGUGCGAUGUUGGCGGAAUUCGUGGUGUAGCGGUGAAAUGCUUAGAUAUCACGAAGAACUCCGAUUGCGAAGGCAGCCAACAAGGCCUUUACUGACGCUAAAGCUCGAAGGUGCGGGUAUCGAACA